Molecule: ribosomal RNA, 440 nt
Filed under: uncultured bacterium
Lineage: Bacteria
Description: partial 16S ribosomal RNA
Rfam family: Bacterial small subunit ribosomal RNA
Source: RNAcentral
CCUACGGGAGGCAGCAGUGGGGAAUAUUGCACAAUGGGGGAAACCCUGAUGCAGCGACGCCGCGUGAGUGAAGAAGUAUUUCGGUAUGUAAAGCUCUAUCAGCAGGGAAGAAAAUGACGGUACCUGAUUAAGAAGCCCCGGCUAACUACGUGACAGCAGCCGCGGUAAUACGUAGGGGGCAAGCGUUAUCCGGAUUUACUGGGUGUAAGGGGAGCGUAGACGGCAGCACAAGUCUGGAGUGAAAUGCCGGGGCUUAACCCCGGAACUGCUUUGGAAACUGUGCAGCUAGAGUGCAGGAGAGGUAAGUGGAAUUCCUAGUGUAGCGGUGAAAUGCGUAGAUAUUAGGAGGAACACCAGUGGCGAAGGCGGCUUACUGGACUGUAACUGACGUUGAGGCUCGAAAGCGUGGGGAGCAAACAGGAUUAGAUACCCCAGUAGUC